Molecule: long non-coding RNA, 265 nt
Filed under: Olea europaea subsp. europaea
Lineage: Eukaryota; Viridiplantae; Streptophyta; Magnoliopsida; Lamiales; Oleaceae
Source: RNAcentral
AGGUUCAGAAAAGGACACUUUUAUUCCCUUUUUUUUUCAUUUUUUUUGAGUGUCUUCUUUGUUCUAUCUCCUUUUCCUUCAGAUAAAUAUAAAACUCCAGAGUAUAUCUUCCCAAGAGUCAAAGAAAAAAAGUUACUUUGAUUAUUUUUCUAUUGAUUUUAAUCUCUUAGAAAGAGAGAAUUUCCUAUUUUUUUCCUUAAAAAAAAUGAAAGUCUCUUGCUCGCAUGCUCAAUUGGUACCCGGAUUCAAUUUAAGUCUUAUUUAA